GAACGCGAAGAACCUUACCAAGGCUUGACAUGCACGGCGACACUGCAGAGAUGUGGUGGCAUUUAGUUGGUCGUGUGCAGGUGGUGCAUGGUUGUCGUCAGCUCGUGUCGUGAGAUGUUGGGUUAAGUCCCGCAACGAGCGCAACCCUUGCCCUAUGUUGCCAGCACGUGAUGGUGGGGACUCGUGGGGGACUGCCGGGGUUAACUCGGAGGAAGGUGGGGAUGACGUCAAAUCAUCAUGCCCCUUAUGUCUUGGGCUUCACGCAUGCUACAAUGGUUGGUACAGAGGGUUGCGAUAUCGUGAGGUGGAGCGAAUCCCUUAAAGCCAGUCUCAGUUCGGAUUGGGGUCUGCAACUCGACCCCAUGAAGGUGGAGUCGCUAGUAAUCGCAGAUCAGCAACGCUGCGGUGAAUACGUUCUCGGGUCUUGUACACACC
RNAcentral lists this ribosomal RNA (435 nucleotides) under uncultured bacterium. RNAcentral describes it as "bacterial SSU rRNA". It matches the Rfam family "Bacterial small subunit ribosomal RNA", at positions 957 to 1391 of the family's 1533-position model. The record is from RNAcentral.